Long non-coding RNA from Oryzias melastigma (Indian medaka), 490 nucleotides. RefSeq lists it as uncharacterized. The transcript is spliced from 5 exons. Lineage: Eukaryota; Metazoa; Chordata; Actinopteri; Beloniformes; Adrianichthyidae. The record is from RefSeq and is a predicted model, not a curated record.
UAUAGAUUAUAAGAGCAGACCCACAGAUGGAGUGAAACUGUCAGAUUAACAUCCCUGCAGUGUCAAAGUCACAUGAAGGCUUCUACAAGUGUCAGUCCUCAGGAAAAGAAUCUCCACAGAGCUGGUUGGCAGUAACAUCAUCCAGACCUGACAGCUCUUCACUUCAUGUUCUGAUGAUUGUUGGACCAGUUUGUGUUUUUUUACUGAUGAUUUUCCUGCUGAUUUUUUAUUUGUACAAAAAGGCAAAAGAUUCAAGCUCCAUCAGCAGAUCUGAUGAACAGAAUCAGAAUCAUUAUCCAGAUGAGAUUGAUGCUGAACACAACACAUAUGCUUCUCUGCUCCAAGGUGACGUUUCUCUUUAUGAUUCACUCAGAGGCCCUGAAGACACAGAAAAUGAUCCAGAGUAUGCCAACAUAGGUAAUCUGAGGAGACUUUAAGGAUGAUGUGAAAUAACUGAUCAUAAAUAAACACAAAUAACAAUAAGUUUAGC